Molecule: ribosomal RNA, 252 nt
Filed under: uncultured bacterium
Lineage: Bacteria
Description: partial 16S ribosomal RNA
Rfam family: Bacterial small subunit ribosomal RNA
Source: RNAcentral
UACGUAGGUCCCGAGCGUUGUCCGGAUUUAUUGGGCGUAAAGCGAGCGCAGGUGGUUUAUUAAGUCUGGUGUAAAAGGCAGUGGCUCAACCAUUGUAUGCAUUGGAAACUGGUAGACUUGAGUGCAGGAGAGGAGAGUGGGAUUCCAUGUGUAGCGGGGAAAUGCGUAGAUAUAUGGAGGAACACCGGUGGCGAAAGCGGCUCUCUGGCCUGUAACUGACACUGAGGCUCGAAAGCGUGGGGAGCAAACAGG